This 129-nucleotide ribosomal RNA is filed under the name uncultured bacterium. RNAcentral's name for it is "partial 16S ribosomal RNA". It matches the Rfam family "Bacterial small subunit ribosomal RNA", at positions 226 to 353 of the family's 1533-position model. The record is from RNAcentral.
UGUGCCCAGAUGGGAUUAGCUAGUAGGUGGGGUAACGGCUCACCUAGGCGACGAUCCCUAGCUGGUCUGAGAGGAUGCCAGCCACACUGGAACUGAGACACGGUCCAGACUCCUACGGGAGGCAGCAUG